AAAAAACUUGCGCCCUUGUUAACAUGUUUGGUACCAAAAAUUAUUUUACAGUGUAAGAUUGUACAAAAAACAAUAGAUGUCCCAGCCUUAUCUCUACGCACGACAGAGUAGAGGUCAAGUGCACAUUGUUAAAGAAUGAUAUUGUCAGUCUUGUGCAUGGAUGGAUGGAUAUUCCCUGCGAAAAUUAAUUCCCACAAAUAAACAUAUCUUCUUUGCUGAAUGUAGCUUCACCAAUCAAACCUAAAGAAUUCAAUAAAAAAAUCAAUCAUUGACUUCACAUGGAAUCAAACUUCGUAUGCACGUGAAUGUAUGCACGUGAAUUGUUGCCUAAAACCGGUAGAACAAACAUGUUCAACUGAAUUGUGUAUGACACUGGAUCAACUUAUAAUCUUACUUAUAGACUAAAAUGUAUGAUGCUUAUAAACUGAAAUAUAUUUUUUUAGAGCAGAUAAAAAAGAAUGUACAGGGACUGCCAGUUGCAUAAUUGAUGGUUACAUGAAACAUCUAAAUUUUUAAGAAUCAAACAUGAUCUAAGGAAGCGAAACACAUCUGCAAGUAUCUAAUAAUAAAAUCCAUAUGAAAGACAACCUCUAUUGUUUGAAAAAUUGUCAGUUCCACUCCUUUGUUUCAAUAGGAAUUGCCAGUUAGUCCAGCACAUCCCCUUUGUCAUAGAUCAGUAGAAGGCAAAACUGGAUACACAUUUAUGUGGGCCUACUCCUAUCAUAGUUUAUACAGAGUAAAAAACUGAGAUUACAUAUGCCUACAUAAUAAGAUUCCUGUGCAUCAUCGUGUUCUUACUUUGAAAUAUGGUAGCAGCAAAUUGAAAGAUUCUGAUGUGUUAGUUUUGGCACAAUGGAAAAUUCAGUCCAUGUACCUAUACUCAACACCAGUUAUCAUGGUCACCUCAUCUUGAUUGAGUACUUUUCUCAAAAAAAAAUCUUGAUUGAGUACUAAUCAAGUAGCAGCAAGUUGAGUAAAACCAACGUAUUUCAGUCACUAUCUUGUGAAUUUUUUAGCCCUAAGAGUAAGGAAAGCAUCUGAACAGAUCUUAGUAUUCCAAAACUAAAAUUAACAGACCUACAACAUGCAUGUUUCUAUAUAACCAAUCUGCAAGCAAUAUCUCUUUUGAGGAUUACAUCAAGACUUAGGCCGACGUCAAGGCUGCAUCAUUUUCCUUCCAGAGCAGAGCAUGUAAUUGGUCCGCGACACCAUCCGCAACCAUAAGGUCUCUGUGAGCUUCGGCAGAUUUAAUAUCAACAAUAAUUGGGUAGGAUAAUGAUCUGCUUACAAAAUCAACCCCUAGCUCAUUUCCCCACUGCGUAGUCGAUCUCCACCACCAGGGAGCCUCGAAAUACCUUAUACAAUUCCUUUAGUCCAACAAAAAUAGCGCUAGCUUUGGCCACCUUGACAAUUAUUCAUGCACCCAGCCGCCUAU
Molecule: long non-coding RNA, 1435 nt
Filed under: Triticum aestivum (bread wheat)
Lineage: Eukaryota; Viridiplantae; Streptophyta; Magnoliopsida; Poales; Poaceae
Description: long non-coding RNA (TAES_LNC021268)
Source: RNAcentral